CAGUCGCCGCGGGAAAACGAAGGGGGCUAGCGUUGCUCGGAUUUACUGGGCGUAAAGGGCGCGUAGGCGGACAGUUUAGUUGGGGGUGAAAGCCCGGGGCUCAACCUCGGAAUUGCCUUCAAUACUGGCUGUCUUGAGUAUGGGAGAGGUGAGUGGAACUCCGAGUGUAGAGGUGAAAUUCGUAGAUAUUCGGAAGAACACCAGUGGCGAAGGCGACUCACUGGCCCAUUACUGACGCUGAGGCGCGAAAGCGUGGGGAGCAAACAGGAUUAGAUACCCCCGUAGUCCCUGUCUCUUAUAC
RNAcentral lists this ribosomal RNA (301 nucleotides) under uncultured bacterium. RNAcentral's name for it is "partial 16S ribosomal RNA". It matches the Rfam family "Bacterial small subunit ribosomal RNA", at positions 509 to 807 of the family's 1533-position model. The record is from RNAcentral.